RNAcentral lists this unclassified non-coding RNA (329 nucleotides) under soil metagenome. Its description in RNAcentral is "partial contains 5.8S ribosomal RNA, internal transcribed spacer 2, and large subunit ribosomal RNA". The stretch from base 1 to 120 matches the Rfam family "5.8S ribosomal RNA", at positions 35 to 154 of the family's 154-position model. The record is from RNAcentral.
GAUGAAGAACGCAGCGAAAUGCGAUAAGUAAUGUGAAUUGCAGAAUUCAGUGAAUCAUCGAAUCUUUGAACGCACAUCGCGCCCCCUGGUAUUCCGGGGGGCAUGCCUGUCCGAGCGUCAUUACAACCCUCAAGCUCAGCUUGGUGUUGGGCCCCGCCGCCCCGGCGGGCCCUAAAGUCAGUGGCGGUGCCGUCCGGCUCCGAGCGUAGUAAUUCUUCUCGCUCUGGAGGUCCGGUCGUGUGCUCGCCAGCAACCCCCAAUUUUUUUCAGGUUGACCUCGGAUCAGGUAGGGAUACCCGCUGAACUUAAGCAUAUCAAUAAGCGGAGGA